UACGUAGGGGGCAAGCGUUGUCCGGAAUCAUUGGGCGUAAAGCGCGUGUAGGCGGCCUUGUAAGUCCGUUCUGAAAGUCCGGGGCUCAACCCCGGGAGGCGGAUGGAUACUGCAAGGCUCGAGUACGGAAGAGGCGAGUGGAAUUCCCGGUGUAGCGGUGAAAUGCGCAGAUAUCAGGAAGAACACCCGUGGCGAAGGCGGCAUCCUGGACCGGUAUUGACGCUGAGGCGCGAAAGCUAGGGGAGCAAACGGG
Molecule: ribosomal RNA, 253 nt
Filed under: uncultured bacterium
Lineage: Bacteria
Description: partial 16S ribosomal RNA
Rfam family: Bacterial small subunit ribosomal RNA
Source: RNAcentral